UUGUCCAAGAAUUAAAAGAAAAAUUAAAAAAAAAAAAGAAGAAAAAUAUGAUGUAACAAGAUACAUACGAGUAUACGAUUAAAAAAAAAAAACUAACGAUGCCAACGUACGUAGAACAAGACCCAUGUUCCGGAAAACGGGCGAAAAAAGUAUUCUCAUACCGAGAAUUGUUUGCCAUCGGAGCGACUUAUUUGUGUUUCUGUGUAUUCCGCACUUUACCCCUACUGUGCUACCUUUGUCUGGGGCUCUCGUACAUUGCUUGUCAAAGCAUGUGCUGUUUCGUGUUCUGUUCUUGAAUUUGAUGAAAUGAGGUUUGAAUAAAGUAAUCCAUAUCA
This is a long non-coding RNA of Vanessa atalanta (red admiral), 335 nucleotides long. RefSeq lists it as uncharacterized. The transcript is spliced from 2 exons. The record is from RefSeq and is a predicted model, not a curated record. NCBI's taxonomy places the organism in Eukaryota, Metazoa, Arthropoda, Insecta, Lepidoptera, Nymphalidae.